AACGAACGCUGGCGGCAUGCCUAACACAUGCAAGUCGAACGAGACCUUCGGGUCUAGUGGCGCACGGGUGCGUAACGCGUGGGAACCUGCCCUUAGGUUCGGAAUAACACUCUGACAGGGGUGCUAAUACCGGGUAAUUUCUUCGGACCAAAGAUUCAUCGUCGUUGGGUGGGCCGGCGUUGGUCUAGCCGGUGGGUAGGGUAAAAGCCUACCAGGGCGCCGCUCCAUAGCUGGUCUGAGAGGAUGGGCAGCCACACUGGGACUGGGACGCGGCGCGGACUCCUGCGGGAGGCGGCAGUGGGGAAUCUUGGAGGAUGGGGGGAAGGCUGAUCCAGCAAGGCCGGGUGAGUGAUGAAGGCGUGAGGGUUGUAAAGCUCUUUUACCCGGGAUGGUAAUGACGGUACCGGGAGAAUAAGCGCCGGCUAACUCCGUG
RNAcentral lists this ribosomal RNA (433 nucleotides) under uncultured bacterium. RNAcentral describes it as "partial 16S ribosomal RNA". It matches the Rfam family "Bacterial small subunit ribosomal RNA", at positions 28 to 507 of the family's 1533-position model. The record is from RNAcentral.